Molecule: ribosomal RNA, 273 nt
Filed under: uncultured bacterium
Lineage: Bacteria
Description: partial 16S ribosomal RNA
Rfam family: Bacterial small subunit ribosomal RNA
Source: RNAcentral
UACAGAGGGUGCAAGCGUUAAUCGGAAUUACUGGGCGUAAAGCGCGCGUAGGUGGUUCGUUAAGUUGGAUGUGAAAUCCCCGGGCUCAACCUGGGAACUGCAUUCAAAACUGUCGAGCUAGAGUAUGGUAGAGGGUGGUGGAAUUUCCUGUGUAGCGGUGAAAUGCGUAGAUAUAGGAAGGAACACCAGUGGCGAAGGCGACCACCUGGACUGAUACUGACACUGAGGUGCGAAAGCGUGGGGAGCAAACAGGAUUAGAAACCCCCGUAGUCC